UGAGUUUGACUUUGGCUCUGAGUGAACGCGUGCAAAAUCUCUUGACACAUGCGAAUUUUAAAGAGUUAUGUUUUUAACUUUUUGGUGUAUUGGUGAGUAAUAUGUGGUAUUCUACCCAAAAGUUUAUUUUAAAAAUAAAUAACCUUAAUUUAAAACUUUUAACAAAAUACAAAUCAAUCAAUUUUUUUGUGGUUAAAUUAAAUUUUGGGAAAACCUAGAGGGCUUUUGGAGGGAACUACAUAAAGGUAGGUUUUUAGUUUUUUUAGUGCUAAGCCUAGGACCUUUAGCCGUUUUGAAAGAUUGAUCGGUCACAUGGGAACUGAAAAACGUCCCACCGUUGGCAGCAGUGGAGAAUAUUGGUCAAUUAACGAGAGUUAGAACCAGGGUUUUGCGUGGAUGAGAGGUUUAAAUACAAACCGCGAAGACUACGGUAGUUGUAAAGUUCGUGCGCAGAUGUAAAUUAUGACAUAUAAAUUUGAGGAGAACCCCGGGCUAACAACGUGCCAGCAGCUGCGGUAAUACGUUGAAGGGGGAGCGUUACUGGUCAUUAUUAGGCGUAAAGUAUGGCUAGAUGGUUUAGUAACUUUAUGAUUAAAUCGAAGGCGUACCUAAGAUUUCAUUUAAAGUCUAAUACUAGAGAUUGUAAGAAGUUAACAAUAUGUAUAUUCUAGAGAUAAAAUUCUAAAAGAAUAUAAAGAUUUUCAACAGCCACGGCAGUUAACUAUUAUUAAUCUGACAUCGAACCAUUAAAGUAUAAGUAUCAACUAGGAUUGGAGACCCUAUAAGUUUAUACCGUGAAUCAAUGGACAUUUUAUAUUUAAUAAAUAAAUUAAGUGAAUAAGCUAACGCGUAAAUGUCUCGCCUGGGGAGUAAGGCUGCAAAGGUAAAACUUAAAAAGAUUGGCGGGAGUUUGUAUGAACGGUGGAGCGUGUGGUUUAAUUCGAUAAUCCGCGUGUAAUCUUACCAAUGUAGGGAGUGAAGUUAAUAUAAUUUUUAAUUAAAAAUAUUGAAACUAAUCUAAGUGGUACUGCAUGGCUGUCGUCAGUUCGUGUUGUAAAAUGUAAUAUUAAGUUAUUAAACGAACGUAACCUUUUCUAUAUCUUUUAUAAGAACUACUUUUUGAAGGCACAACCUAAGUUCUUACUUAAGUUGCUCAAAAAGAAUUUUUAUGGGUUAUAGCAUAACAAAACAAGUUUACACUUCUUAGAUUUUUUAAACUAAGGAUAAUAAUUUAUUUUGUGGAAGUUAAGGAGAAGUCAAGUCAUUAUGGUCUAGAUAUGUUGGGCUACACAUGCGCUACAAGGGCAAAAACAAUAAGAUGCGAUAAUGAAAGUUAAAGCAAAUCUUUAAAAAUUGCCGUAGUUCGGAUUGUAGACUGGAACUCGUUUACAUGAAGUCGGAAUCGUUAGUAAUCGUAAAUUAGUAUGUUACGGUGAAUGAUGAAUCAAACUUUGCACACACCGCCCAUCACGCCCGAAGAGUCACGACGGUUAGAAAUUCUACCCACCAGUAACUUAAAAAUAAAAAGUAUAUGCUGUAUAAUGUUGAAAAAUAGUAAACAGAGUGUAUUAAAUUUAUU
RNAcentral lists this ribosomal RNA (1579 nucleotides) under marine metagenome. RNAcentral's name for it is "bacterial SSU rRNA". It matches the Rfam family "Bacterial small subunit ribosomal RNA". The record is from RNAcentral.